RNAcentral lists this transfer RNA (76 nucleotides) under Mus musculus (house mouse). Its description in RNAcentral is "tRNA-Ser". Lineage: Eukaryota; Metazoa; Chordata; Mammalia; Rodentia; Muridae. The record is from RNAcentral.
GGAGAGAUGGCUCAGUGGUUAAGAGCACUGACUGCUCUUCCAGAGGUCGUCCUGAGUUCAAUUCCCAGCAACCACA